Molecule: long non-coding RNA, 508 nt
Filed under: Setaria italica (foxtail millet)
Lineage: Eukaryota; Viridiplantae; Streptophyta; Magnoliopsida; Poales; Poaceae
Description: long non-coding RNA (SITA_LNC002713)
Source: RNAcentral
UUUAAAUCAGCAACACCAUUAAACAACAGGCAUUUUGUUUAGUUGAACCCAUGCAACAACAAGAAUGCCCUCCACACUAAUAUUGACACAAUAAUGAGCCAAGCAUCAGUUUUAAAAAGCUCGGUUUUAGAGACUUCAGUGAUAAUAAUAUCUCAGAAGCAUCUCCUCGUUAACAUCAAAUGCUCGGCCUCCCAUUACAAUAAAGAAACUCAGGUCAUACACAAACAUCAUCAUGCUGCAUCAACUCACUAAAUUUCCAUAUAUCUAUUGCGAUGAUAUGCUAAGCAUCAGUUUUAAAAAGCUCGAUUUUUUAGACAUCAGAGACCCCAGAGGAUCUCAGUCUAUGUAAUUGUUAACAUCACCUGCAGCACGUCAUCGCAACUGACAAGCUCUAGAAGCAUCUCCUCGUUAACAUCAAAUGCUCGGCCUCCCAUUACAAUAAAGAAACUCAGGUCAUACACAAACAUCAUCAUGCUGCAUCAACUCACUAAAUUUCCAUAUAUCUAUU